Molecule: long non-coding RNA, 252 nt
Filed under: Brachypodium distachyon (stiff brome)
Lineage: Eukaryota; Viridiplantae; Streptophyta; Magnoliopsida; Poales; Poaceae
Description: long non-coding RNA (BDIS_LNC001387)
Source: RNAcentral
UUCCAGAAAACAACAAUACCUUCCUUAUGAAAACUAUAUAGCACCACCCGGGCUAAUGCUCCGCUAUGUAGGAUCCCCACACUUAAGUUAAACUUUAACCACAAUUUUUUUGAUGGCUCAAGGCGCGUUAGAGGAGGACACGGGGGUGGUGCCGAAGCGGCGGAGGAGAGUUGUAGCGCGGCGGCGUGUGCUUUUGAUCCAGAUCAGGAGGAGGGGACUCACGGGAGGGGGCAAGUCAGGCCGUGUGGGGUC